AUGAUAGAACAAUCAGACCAAAAGCAAAAGAGAGGUAAGGGGACAUGUUUGACAGCGGACACCAUUUCAGUUGCCUUCUUGGUUCAAUUUGUGUCUCAGCGAUGUUUCCUAGAGUCUCUAUGGUUCCUAUCUCUUCGCCCCCUUUCCCGCCACCCUUUGUUCUCUGGAAGCCCGGAGACAUCAGCCGCUGCGAUUGUGCUACUGGCUGCUCGGCACGGAAGGGUCAGGACAGAAAAAUAAAUCCAAAGAUAUUUUGGCACUAACAGCAUGAUCCGUACCAAGAAAGAUGAGCAGUCAGUUCGAACUGAUGAGACUUCCAAGGAGACUUCAGAGAGUCAAGACAGUGAAAAGGAAAAUACGAGAAAGACUUGUUAAGCAUUAGUAAGGGCGUGAAAGUUGAAUUAAGCACAGUAAAUGUACAAACAACAAAGCCUCCCAACAGAAGACCACUUAAAAGUUUGGCAGCUACACUUGGCAGGCUUCAAAGAGCUACAGAACAUGCUCCAAAGAAGAUAAUUGAGCCCCUGAGUCUUGAGCUGGUGGCUGCUGCAUCUGCUGUGGCAGAUUCUCUCCCUUUUGACAAGCAAACAAUCAAGUCAAGCUGCUGAGGCUGUUCCAGCAGCAUGACGAAGAGUCAAGGGCACAGAGAGGUGCAGAGAGACCUAAAGUUAGUUUCAGUAACAUAAUAUAGAUAUGAAAGUUGCCAGAUCUGCUACAACUAGAGUUCGUUCAAGACCAGAGCAUCAGAUUCAGUUUGACGAAGGCUAUGACAAUUAUCCUGGCCAAGGAGAAGACCACUGAUCUUAGAAAAAGAUGUAGGAAAAAUAUAUUGGAGGGGAAAAAACUUAAUAUUUUUGACAUGACAGCAGUUACUAAUUAAGCACCCGAAACAGACACAUGACCUUCACUUUGGGAUGUGGAAUUUGCUAAGCAGUUAGCCACAGUAAAUGAACAACCCCUUCAGAAUGUGUUUGAAAAGCCGAUCCAGUGGACAAAGGAGGGGAAACUGUGGGAGCUCCCAAUUAACAAUGAAGCAGGUUUUGAUGAUGGUUGUUCAGAAUUUCAUGAACAUAUGUUUCUGGAGGAACACUUGAAGGGCUUUCCAAAAUAAGGACCAAUAUGCCACUUCAUGGAGCUGA
RNA transcript from Rhinopithecus roxellana (golden snub-nosed monkey), 1139 nucleotides. It is a transcript of the gene named 28S ribosomal protein S31, mitochondrial pseudogene, with no coding region annotated. NCBI's taxonomy places the organism in Eukaryota, Metazoa, Chordata, Mammalia, Primates, Cercopithecidae. The transcript has a single exon. The record is from RefSeq and is a predicted model, not a curated record.